CCGGGAAACUGGGAUUAAUCAAUGAUAGAUCAAAGUCUCUGGAAUGAAUUUUGGUUAAAAAGGGGAAGUAAGCAUGUUUUACUUCUUUCGCUCUAAGAUGGGACUGCGACCGAUCAGGUUGUUGGUGAGGUAACGGCUCACCAAGCCUAUAACCGGUAUGGGCUUUGAGAGAAGUAGCCCAGAGAUGGACACUGAGAUAAGAGUCCAGGCCCUACGGGGCGCAGCAGGCGCGAAACCUUCGCAAUGCGCGAAAGCGUGACGAGGUUAGUCCGAGUGUCAUCCGCUGAGGGUGACUUUUCCUAAGUCUAAAAAGCUUGGGGAAUAAGGGGAGGGUAAGUCUGGUGUCAGCCGCCGCGGUAAUACCAGCUCCCCGAGUGGUCGGGACGUUUAUUGGGCCUAAAGUAUCCGUAGCCGGUCCUGUAGGUCUUCUGUUAAAUCCAACAGCUCAACUGUUGAACUGCAGGAGAUACCGCAAGACUAGGAGGCGGGAGAGGCGGACGGUACUCCAUGGGUAGGGGCAAAAUCCUUUGAUCCAUGGAAGACCACCAGUGGCGAAGGCGGUCCGCCAGAACGCGCUCGACGGUGAGGGAUGAAAGCUGGGGGAGCGAACCGGAUUAGAUACCCGGGUAGUCCCAGCUGUAAACGAUGCGAGCUAGGUGAUGGAAUGGCUACGUGCCAUUCCAGUGCCGCAGGGAAGCCG
This 700-nucleotide ribosomal RNA is filed under the name uncultured archaeon. RNAcentral describes it as "bacterial SSU rRNA". It matches the Rfam family "Archaeal small subunit ribosomal RNA", at positions 132 to 814 of the family's 1478-position model. The record is from RNAcentral.